RNAcentral lists this long non-coding RNA (744 nucleotides) under Elaeis guineensis (African oil palm). Its description in RNAcentral is "long non-coding RNA (EGUI_LNC007140)". Lineage: Eukaryota; Viridiplantae; Streptophyta; Magnoliopsida; Arecales; Arecaceae. The record is from RNAcentral.
UAAAUAAAUUUUUUAGAUCAAUGAAAAAUGUAUUUUCAUUGUAUUUACUCUUCACAUGAAGUUUCUUACUUCUUUGUAAUGUUUGUGCUGAUUAGCUUUCAUCAUGGUCAUGGGCUCAAAUGAUUCGGAUGGGUUGGUCGGGUUGGUUCCCAUGCCCAAUCCAAGAUCUUUCUUGACCUUGUCCGAAGUGCCUACUUCGUUAGUGUGUGGUGAGUGAGCUUUUAAAAAUUACUAACUUAUUUAUUGCCAAGCACUGGAUGUUGAUAGGUGUUGUUUUGUUGCCCAUAAAUCAGAAAAGGUGAUCCAUUUUGAGAGUCGCACAGUGACAAAUCUAUAUAGUCUGGAGGUUUGAUGGGGCUUUGCCUUGAAUACUAGUACCAUUUGAAAAGGACUGUACAUUGGAAAGGACCUUUGAUGCUCCUCCCAGAAGGUGCAAUCUUCGAGGCCUUCUAGGUGGUGACACUUAUCACAUGAUUAGUGGGGCAUUUGAGUGUGCUUGGGCCUAUCUCCCCUUUAUAAAUAGGAGCCAUGUUGCUUGAGGUCGAUCUUACCUUGGUCAUCUUCUGAAAUAUUGUGAUGGUGUCGUCUCGUCUGAUGUCACUAGGAUGUCGGAGCUUUCCUCCAUCUGGGGGAGUCUUCUUCUUUCUCUGGCCAAUCAUGGAGUGCUUCAGGGGGAUGCAUUAGUGAGCAUUCUAUCUUAGCAUGAGAAGUAUUGGAAAGUUCCACCUUUCCAACCGUAGGGCC